This 253-nucleotide ribosomal RNA is filed under the name uncultured bacterium. RNAcentral describes it as "partial 16S ribosomal RNA". It matches the Rfam family "Bacterial small subunit ribosomal RNA", at positions 524 to 776 of the family's 1533-position model. The record is from RNAcentral.
UACGAAGGGGGCGAGCGUUGUUCGGAAUUACUGGGCGUAAAGGGCGCGUAGGCGGCGACUCUAGUCAGAUGUGAAAGUCCUGGGCUUAACCUGGGGACUGCAUUUGAUACUGGGUUGCUUGAAUUCGGGAGAGGAUAGCGGAAUUCCCAGUGUAGAGGUGAAAUUCGUAGAUAUUGGGAAGAACACCGGUGGCGAAGGCGGCUAUCUGGACCGGCAUUGACGCUGAGGAGCGAAAGCCAGGGGAGCAAACGGG